GAUGAACGCUGGCGGCGUGCCUAAUACAUGCAAGUCGAGCGAACGGACGAGAAGCUUGCUUUUCUGAUGUUAGCGGCGGACGGGUGAGUAACACGUGGAUAACCUACCUAUAAGACUGGGAUAACUUCGGGAAACCGGAGCUAAUACCGGAUAAUAUUUUGAACCGCAUGGUUCAAAAGUGAAAGACGGUCUUGCUGUCACUUAUAGAUGGAUCCGCGCUGCAUUAGCUAGUUGGUAAGGUAACGGCUUACCAAGGCAACGAUGCAUAGCCGACCUGAGAGGGGGUUCGGCCACACUGGAACUGAGACACGGUCCAGACUCCUACGGGAGGCAGCAGUUGGGAAUCUUCCGCAAUGGGCGAAAGCCUGACGGAGCAACGCCGCGUGAGUGAUGAAGGUCUUCGGAUCGUAAAACUCUUUUAUUAGGGAAGAACAUAUGUGUAAGUAACUGUGCACAUCUUGACGGUACCUAAUCAGAAAGCCACGGCUAACUACGUG
This 497-nucleotide ribosomal RNA is filed under the name uncultured bacterium. RNAcentral describes it as "partial 16S ribosomal RNA". It matches the Rfam family "Bacterial small subunit ribosomal RNA", at positions 28 to 507 of the family's 1533-position model. The record is from RNAcentral.